ACAGCAGCCGCCGCGGUAACACGUAGGGUGCAAGCGUUAAUCGGAAUUACUGGGCGUAAAGCGUGCGCAGGCGGUUAUAUAAGACAGAUGUGAAAUCCCCGGGCUCAACCUGGGAACUGCAUUUGUGACUGUAUAGCUAGAGUACGGCAGAGGGGGAUGGAAUUCCGCGUGUAGCAGUGAAAUGCGUAGAUAUGCGGAGGAACACCGAUGGCGAAGGCAAUCCCCUGGGCCUGUACUGACGCUCAUGCACGAAAGCGUGGGGAGCAAACAGGAUUAGAUACCCGUGUAGUCCCUGUCUCUUAUAC
Molecule: ribosomal RNA, 305 nt
Filed under: uncultured bacterium
Lineage: Bacteria
Description: partial 16S ribosomal RNA
Rfam family: Bacterial small subunit ribosomal RNA
Source: RNAcentral